RNAcentral lists this ribosomal RNA (346 nucleotides) under uncultured fungus. RNAcentral's name for it is "SSU rRNA". It matches the Rfam family "Eukaryotic small subunit ribosomal RNA", at positions 20 to 370 of the family's 1831-position model. Lineage: Eukaryota; Fungi. The record is from RNAcentral.
GUAGUCAUAUGCUUGUCUCAAAGAUUAAGCCAUGCAUGUCUAAGUAUAAGCAAUUAUACCGCGAAACUGCGAAUGGCUCAUUAUAUAAGUUAUCGUUUAUUUGAUAGUACCUUACUACUUGGAUAACCGUGGUAAUUCUAGAGCUAAUACAUGCUAAAAACCCCGACUUCGGAAGGGGUGUAUUUAUUAGAUUAAAAACCAAUGCCCUUCGGGGCUCUCUGGUGAUUCAUGAUAACUUCUCGAAUCGCAUGGCCUUGCGCCGGCGAUGGUUCAUUCAAAUUUCUUCCCUAUCAACUUUCGAUGUUUGGGUAUUGGCCAAACAUGGUUGCAACGGGUAACGGGGAAU